GAUGAGCGCUGGCGGUGUGCCUAACACAUGCAAGUCGAACGCAUUUAGUUGCGUGGCAGACGGGUGAGUACAAGCAAGGAACGUGCCCUUACGUCGGGGAUAGCCCACCGAAAGGUGGUGUAAUACCCGAUACAUCUACGGAUGAAAGGUUUUUCGCGUAAGGAGCGGCCUUGCCCCCAUCAGCUAGUUGGUAAGGUAAUGGCUUACCAAGGCUAUGACGGGUAACUGGCGUGAGAGCGCGACCAGUCACAAUGGGACUGAGACACGGCCCAUACUCCUACGGGAGGCAGCAGUUGGGAAUAUUGGACAAUGGGCGAAAGCCUGAUCCAGCGACACCGCGUGGGGGAUGAAGGCCUUCGGGUUGUAAACUCCUUUUCCUUGGGAAAAUUAUGAUUGUACCAGGGGAAUAAGCACCGGCUAACUACGUGCCAGAAGCCUCGGUGAUACGUAGGGUGCAAGCGCUAUCCGGAAUUAUUGGGCGUAAAGAGCUCGUAGGUGGUUUUGUUCGUUUCGUGUUAAAUUUUCAGGCUCAACUUGGAAUCUGCACGAAAGACAGCAAGACUGGAGUCCAGCAGGGGUCAGCGGAAUUGGCGGUGUAGCAGUGAAAUGCGUUGAUAUCGCCAAGAACACCAAUGGCGAAGGCAGCUGACUAGGUUGGUACUGACACUCAAGAGCGAAAGCGUGGGGAGCGAACAGGAUUAGAUACCCUGGUAGUCCACGCCGUAAACGUUGCAGACUAGGUAUUCGGAGUAUCGACCCUUUGUGUACCGAAGCAAACGCGUUAAGUCUGCCGCCUGGGAAGUACGGUCGCAAGACUAAAACUCAAAUGAAUUGACGGGGGCUCGCACAAGCGGUGGAGCAUGUGGUUUAAUUCGACGCUAACCGAGAAACCUUACCAGGACUUGACAUCUCCGGAACCCUGCAGAAAUGCGGGGGUGCCUUCGGGAACCGGAUGACAGGUGAUGCACGGUCGUCGUCAGUUCGUGUUGUGAAAUGUACCCUUAAGUGGGCAAACGAACGAAACCCUCGUCCUGUGUUGUAUUUCACGGGAGACUGCCUCGAUCAACGGGGAGGAAGGCGGGGAUGACGCCAGAUCAGCGUGUCUCUUACGUCCUGGGCUACACACGUGCUACAAUGGCGACCACAGCGGGUAGCAAUGCGGUAACGCGGAGCUAAUCCCCAAAAGUCGUCUCAGUUCGGAUUGAGGGCUGCAACUCGCCCUCAUGAAGCCGGAAUCGCUAGUAAACGCAUAUCAGCUAUGGUGCGUUGAAUACGUUCUCGAGCCUUGUACACACCGCCCGUCAAGUGAGCCGAGUUGGCAACACCCGAAGACCCAGUUUUAUUACAGGGGCCACGGUGGGGUCAGUAAGGAGCACU
RNAcentral lists this ribosomal RNA (1377 nucleotides) under uncultured bacterium. RNAcentral describes it as "bacterial SSU rRNA". It matches the Rfam family "Bacterial small subunit ribosomal RNA". The record is from RNAcentral.